GUCCAUUCGGCGACAUCCAAUAAAAUUGGAACGAUACAUAGAAAAUUAGCCCCUACGCAAGAAUGACACAUACAAAUCAAGAAAUGGAUCCCUACGCA
Molecule: small nuclear RNA, 98 nt
Organism: Solanum verrucosum
Lineage: Eukaryota; Viridiplantae; Streptophyta; Magnoliopsida; Solanales; Solanaceae
Source: RefSeq, a predicted model, not a curated record